AUGAACGCUGGCGGCGUGCCUAAUACAUGCAAGUCGAGCGAACAGAUGAGGAGCUUGCUCCUCUGACGUUAGCGGCGGACGGGUGAGUAACACGUGGAUAACCUACCUAUAAGACUGGGAUAACUUCGGGAAACCGGAGCUAAUACCGGAUAAUAUAUUGAACCGCAUGGUUCAAUAGUGAAAGACGGUUUUGCUGUCACUUAUAGAUGGAUCCGCGCCGCAUUAGCUAGUUGGUAAGGUAACGGCUUACCAAGGCAACGAUGCGUAGCCGACCUGAGAGGGUGGUCGGCCACACUGGAACUGAGACACGGUCCAGACUCCUACGGGAGGCAGCAGUAGGGAAUCUUCCGCAAUGGGCGAAAGCCUGACGGAGCAACGCCGCGUGAGUGAUGAAGGUCUUCGGAUCGUAAAACUCUGUUAUUAGGGAAGAACAAAUGUGUAAGUAACUAUGCACGUCUUGACGGUACCUAAUCAGAAAGCCACGGCUAACUACGU
This 495-nucleotide ribosomal RNA is filed under the name uncultured bacterium. Its description in RNAcentral is "partial 16S ribosomal RNA". It matches the Rfam family "Bacterial small subunit ribosomal RNA", at positions 29 to 506 of the family's 1533-position model. The record is from RNAcentral.